Molecule: ribosomal RNA, 677 nt
Filed under: Salmonella enterica subsp. enterica serovar Infantis
Lineage: Bacteria; Pseudomonadati; Pseudomonadota; Gammaproteobacteria; Enterobacterales; Enterobacteriaceae
Also listed under: 1 other name
Description: partial 23S ribosomal RNA
Rfam family: Bacterial large subunit ribosomal RNA
Source: RNAcentral
UGGGAGGCUUUGAAGCGUGGACGCCAGUCUGCGUGGAGCCGACCUUGAAAUACCACCCUUUAAUGUUUGAUGUUCUAACGUGGAUCCGUAAUCCGGGUUGCGGACAGUGUCUGGUGGGUAGUUUGACUGGGGCGGUCUCCUCCUAAAGAGUAACGGAGGAGCACGAAGGUUGGCUAAUCCUGGUCGGACAUCAGGAGGUUAGUGCAAUGGCAUAAGCCAGCUUGACUGCGAGCGUGACGGCGCGAGCAGGUGCGAAAGCAGGUCAUAGUGAUCCGGUGGUUCUGAAUGGAAGGGCCAUCGCUCAACGGAUAAAAGGUACUCCGGGGAUAACAGGCUGAUACCGCCCAAGAGUUCAUAUCGACGGCGGUGUUUGGCACCUCGAUGUCGGCUCAUCACAUCCUGGGGCUGAAGUAGGUCCCAAGGGUAUGGCUGUUCGCCAUUUAAAGUGGUACGCGAGCUGGGUUUAGAACGUCGUGAGACAGUUCGGUCCCUAUCUGCCGUGGGCGCUGGAGAACUGAGGGGGGCUGCUCCUAGUACGAGAGGACCGGAGUGGACGCAUCACUGGUGUUCGGGUUGUCAUGCCAAUGGCACUGCCCGGUAGCUAAAUGCGGAAGAGAUAAGUGCUGAAAGCAUCUAAGCACGAAACUUGCCCCGAGAUGAGUUCUCCCUGAGACUUA